GCUAAACGCGAAGAACCUUACCUACUCUUGACAUCUAGCGAAGAUUGCAGAGAUGCAGUUGUGCCUUCGGGAACGCUAAGACAGGUGCUGCAUGGCUGUCGUCAGCUCGUGUUGUGAAAUGUUGGGUUAAGUCCCGCAACGAGCGCAACCCUUAUCCUUAGUUGCCAGCACGUAAUGGUGGGAACUCUAGGGAGACUGCCGGUGAUAAACCGGAGGAAGGUGGGGACGACGUCAAGUCAUCAUGGCCCUUACGAGUAGGGCUACACACGUGCUACAAUGGUACGUACAGAGGGAGGCAAGCUGGCGACAGUGAGCGGAUCUCUUAAAGCGUAUCGUAGUCCGGAUCGCAGUCUGCAACUCGACUGCGUGAAGUCGGAAUCGCUAGUAAUCGCAAAUCAGAAUGUUGCGGUGAAUACGUUCCCGGGUCUUGUACACACCG
RNAcentral lists this ribosomal RNA (439 nucleotides) under uncultured bacterium. RNAcentral's name for it is "bacterial SSU rRNA". It matches the Rfam family "Bacterial small subunit ribosomal RNA", at positions 954 to 1392 of the family's 1533-position model. The record is from RNAcentral.